RNAcentral lists this ribosomal RNA (400 nucleotides) under uncultured bacterium. RNAcentral's name for it is "bacterial SSU rRNA". It matches the Rfam family "Bacterial small subunit ribosomal RNA", at positions 355 to 772 of the family's 1533-position model. The record is from RNAcentral.
UGGGGAAUCUUGGACAAUGGGGGAAACCCUGAUCCAGCCAUGCCGCGUGAGUGAUGAAGGCCCUAGGGUUGUAAAACUCUUUCGGCGGGGACGAUAAUGACGGUACCCGCAGAAGAAGCUCCGGCUAACUUCGUGCCAGCAGCCGCGGUAAUACGAAGGGGGCUAGCGUUGUUCGGAAUUACUGGGCGUAAAGCGCGCGCAGGCGGUCCUUCAAGUCAGAGGUGAAAGCCCAGGGCUCAACCCUGGAACUGCCUUUGAAACUGGAGGACUUGGGUACGGGAGAGGUGAGUGGAAUUCCGAGUGUAGAGGUGAAAUUCGUAGAUAUUCGGAAGAACACCAGUGGCGAAGGCGACUCACUGGACAUGUAUUGACGCUGAGGUGCGAAAGCGUGGGGAGCAAA